ACGGAGGGUGCAAGCGUUAUUCGGAUUUAUUGGGCGUAAAGGGCGCGUAGGCGGCUUUUUAAGUCAGAUGUGAAAUCCCGGGGCUUAACCUCGGAAGUGCAUUUGAAACUGGGAAGCUUGAGUAUGGGAGAGGGAAACGGAAUUCCUGGUGUAGCGGUGAAAUGCGUAGAUAUCAGGGGGAACACCGGUGGCGAAAGCGUUUUCCCGGACCAAUUCUGGCGCUGAGGCGCGAAGGCGCGGGGAUCAAACAG
Molecule: ribosomal RNA, 251 nt
Filed under: uncultured prokaryote
Description: partial 16S rRNA
Rfam family: Bacterial small subunit ribosomal RNA
Source: RNAcentral